This 433-nucleotide long non-coding RNA is filed under the name Cricetulus griseus (Chinese hamster). RNAcentral describes it as "lncRNA (ENSCGRG00015030077.1)". The record is from RNAcentral. Lineage: Eukaryota; Metazoa; Chordata; Mammalia; Rodentia; Cricetidae.
AUUCUGCCUGCAUGCAUGUCUGCAAGCCAGAAGAGGGCACCAGAUCUCAUAAUGGAUGGUUGUGAGCCACCAUGUGGUUGCUUGGAAUUGAACACAGGACCUCUGGAAGAUCAACCAGUGCUCUCAAGAGCUGAGCCAUCUCUCCAGCCCCCUAAGGUCCUGUUUUAAUGGCUGCAUGUUCCAGUGACACUUGGGACAUGUCUGCUCCUGGGAGAACCAAUCCACUUAAGAGAAGAUGAUGGGCAUCGAAGAAACUUACAUGGAGUUUACUUUCUUUAUGUUAAAGUUUCAGGAAAUUUCCAUCAAGAAAAGGGAACCACAAUCUUUCAGGAGCAGUUGAGGUGACUCUGGGCUAGCUACUGAGCUGGUGAACAUAUUCUCAAGCAAAGACAGAGGUCACACUUGGGUCUCCUUCAUCUACCUUGUGAAGAGC